AACGCUGGCGGCGUGCCUAAUACAUGCAAGUCGAGCGGACCCUUCGGGGUCAGCGGCGGACGGGUGAGUAACACGUGGGUAAUCUGCCCAACUGACCGGAAUAACGCCUGGAAACGGGUGCUAAUGCCGGAUAGGCAACGAGGAGGCAUCUCCUUGUUGGGAAAGGUGCAACUGCACCGCAGAUGGAGGAGCCCGCGGCGCAUUAGCUAGUUGGUGGGGUAACGGCCUACCAAGGCGACGAUGCGUAGCCGACCUGAGAGGGUGGACGGCCACACUGGGACUGAGACACGGCCCAGACUCCUACGGGAGGCAGCAGUAGGGAAUCUUCCGCAAUGGGCGCAAGCCUGACGGAGCAACGCCGCGUGAGCGAAGAAGGCCUUCGGGUUGUAAAGCUCAGUCACUCGGGAAGAGCGGACGAAGGAGUGGAAAGCCUUCGUCGAGACGGUACCGAGAGAGGAAGCCCCGGCUAACUACGUGCCAGCAGCCGCGGUAAUACGUAGGGGGCAAGCGUUGUCCGGAAUCACUGGGCGUAAAGCGUGCGUAGGCGGUCGCGUGUGUCUGGGGUGAAAGUCCAGGGCUCAACUCUGGGAUUGCCUUGGAAACUGCGUGACUUGAGUACUGGAGAGGCAAGGGGAAUUCCGCGUGUAGCGGUGGAAUGCGUAGAUAUGCGGAGGAAUACC
This 680-nucleotide ribosomal RNA is filed under the name uncultured bacterium. RNAcentral describes it as "bacterial SSU rRNA". It matches the Rfam family "Bacterial small subunit ribosomal RNA", at positions 32 to 710 of the family's 1533-position model. The record is from RNAcentral.